GCAGGAGAGUUGGUGGUGUUGGCAGGUGGGUUGGUUGUGUUGGCUGGAGGGUUGGUGGUGUUAGGUGGAGGGUUGGUGGUGUUGGAUGGGAGGGUUGGUGGGUUGGUGGUGUGGGCUGGUGGGUUGGUAGUGUUGGCUUGCGGGUUGGUAUUGUUGGCUGGCGGGUUGGUUGUGUUGGCUGGAGGGUUGGUGGUGUUGGCUGGAGGGUUGGUGGUGUUGGCUGGAGGGUUGGUGGUGUUGGCUGUAGGGUUGGUGGUGUUUGCUGGAGGGUUGGUGGUGUUGGCUGGCGGGUUGUUUGUGUUGGCUGGAGGGUUGGUUGUGUUGGCUGGAGGGUUGGUUGUGAUGGCUGGAGGGUUGGUUGUGUUGGCUGCCGGGUAGGUGGUGUUGGCUGGAGGGUAGGUGGUGUUGGCUGGCGGGUUGGUGGUUUUGGCUGGCGGGUUGGUGGUGUUGGCUGGAGGGUUGGUGGUGUUGGCUGGCGGGUUGGUUGUGUUGGAUGACGGAUUGGUGAUGUUGGCUAGCGGGUUGGUGGUGCUGGCUGACGGGUUGGUGGUGUUGGCAGGAGGGUUGGUGGUGUUGGCUGGAGGGUUGGUUGUGUUGGCAGGAGGGUUGGUGGUGUUGGCUGGCAGUGUUGGCUGGCGGGUUGGUGGUGUUGGCUGGCGGGUUGGUAGUGUUGGCUGGCGGGUUGGUGGUGUUGGCUGGCAGGUUGGAUUUGUUGGCUGGCGGGUUGGUGGUGUUGGCAGGCUGUUUGGUUUAUUGGUGUUGUGGGUUGGUAGUGUUGGCUGGCAGGUUGGAUAUGUUGGCCCGGCAUGUCGGUGGUUUUGGCAGGCUGUUUGGUUUAUUGGUGGUGUGGAUUGGCAGGUUGGUAGUGUUGGCUGGCGUGUUGGUAGUGUUGGCUGGUGGGUUG
Molecule: long non-coding RNA, 904 nt
Organism: Oncorhynchus tshawytscha (Chinook salmon)
Lineage: Eukaryota; Metazoa; Chordata; Actinopteri; Salmoniformes; Salmonidae
Source: Ensembl